This 28-nucleotide small RNA is filed under the name Bombyx mori (domestic silkworm). Its description in RNAcentral is "ovarian small RNA-14425". The record is from RNAcentral. Lineage: Eukaryota; Metazoa; Arthropoda; Insecta; Lepidoptera; Bombycidae.
CGCUUGUGUAGUGUUUGUGAACAAGUGC